This 420-nucleotide long non-coding RNA is filed under the name Phoenix dactylifera (date palm). RNAcentral describes it as "long non-coding RNA (PDAC_LNC000702)". The record is from RNAcentral. Lineage: Eukaryota; Viridiplantae; Streptophyta; Magnoliopsida; Arecales; Arecaceae.
AAGAUUAAGAGUAUUUUUGGAAAAAAAAGAAAGAUUUUAUCUUGAUUUCCAGCCUAUGUGUCCCAUAUGGAUUCCUAUUUUUCAUAGAAGGUAGAAAACUUAUGCCUAUUAAAAAGCUACAUUUCCAUUCUUAUUUAAAACUACUUUUCCAUUUAUCAUUUAAAACCUUCAACCAAGCCUAAGCCAUUUUGUCAUCUUUUCCGUUAACUACGUUUUCUCCCCUUCUUUUCCCACAAACCAAACAAGUCCUAUGAGCGGUGUCGAUGGUUUAAAUGAAUUUUCAAUGACAAAACGACUUUGAAGUUGAAAUUUGAAUCUAUAUUUUAAAAUUUGAGUUAAAUCGUACGUAACACGCAGCCUAACUAAUAAUAAAGAACAAGACCUAAUCCACUGAUAGCUCAAAAGUAAGAGUUGGUGUAA